CAGCCGCCGCGGGAAUACAGAGGGUGCGAGCGUUAAUCGGAUUUACUGGGCGUAAAGCGUGCGUAGGCGGCUUCUUAAGUCGGAUGUGAAAUCCCUGAGCUUAACUUAGGAAUUGCAUUCGAUACUGGGAAGCUAGAGUAUGGGAGAGGAUGGUAGAAUUCCAGGUGUAGCGGUGAAAUGCGUAGAGAUCUGGAGGAAUACCGAUGGCGAAGGCAGCCAUCUGGCCUAAUACUGACGCUGAGGUACGAAAGCAUGGGGAGCAAACAGGAUUAGAUACCCCAGUAGUCCCUGUCUUUUAUAC
Molecule: ribosomal RNA, 301 nt
Filed under: uncultured bacterium
Lineage: Bacteria
Description: partial 16S ribosomal RNA
Rfam family: Bacterial small subunit ribosomal RNA
Source: RNAcentral